This 66-nucleotide transfer RNA is filed under the name Lymantria dispar asiatica. RNAcentral's name for it is "tRNA-Phe". Lineage: Eukaryota; Metazoa; Arthropoda; Insecta; Lepidoptera; Erebidae. The record is from RNAcentral.
AUAUAAAUAGCUUAUAGUUAGAGCAUAAUAUUGAAGCUAUUAAGGAGAUAAAUUUAUCUUUAAAUA